This 324-nucleotide ribosomal RNA is filed under the name uncultured Chloroflexota bacterium. RNAcentral describes it as "bacterial SSU rRNA". It matches the Rfam family "Bacterial small subunit ribosomal RNA", at positions 28 to 351 of the family's 1533-position model. The record is from RNAcentral. Lineage: Bacteria; Bacillati; Chloroflexota.
GAUGAACGCUGGCGGCGUGCUUAAUACAUGCAAGUCGAACGAAGUCAGUAGCAAUAUUGGCUGAGUGGCGAACGGGUGAGUAACGCGUUGGUGACCUGCCCCGAAGAGAGGGAUAACAGUUCGAAAGGAUUGCUAAUACCCCAUGUGGUCAUUUGGAUUAGAUGCCUUAUGACUAAACGGAUUUAUUCGCUUCGGGAGGGCCUGCGUCCCAUCAGCUAGUUGGUAGGGUAAUGGCCUACCAAGGCGAUGACGGGUAGGGGACCUGAGAGGGUGGCCCCCACAAUGGACGUAGAACAACGGUCCACUACACCUACCGGGUGGCUG